RNAcentral lists this ribosomal RNA (262 nucleotides) under uncultured bacterium. Its description in RNAcentral is "partial 16S ribosomal RNA". It matches the Rfam family "Bacterial small subunit ribosomal RNA", at positions 514 to 775 of the family's 1533-position model. The record is from RNAcentral.
GCCGCGGUAAUACGGAGGAUCCAAGCGUUAUCCGGAUUUAUUGGGUUUAAAGGGUGCGUAGGCGGCGUUGUAAGUCAGUGGUGAAAGUUUGCAGCUUAACUGUAAAAUUGCCAUUGAUACUGCAGUGCUUGAGUACAGAUGAGGUGGGCGGAAUGUGUCAUGUAGCGGUGAAAUGCAUAGAUAUGACACAGAACACCGAUUGCGAAGGCAGCUCACUAAACUGUAACUGACGCUGAGGCACGAAAGCGUGGGGAUCAAACAG